AUGGCCACUAAAAAACCAGUAGCCAAGAAAGUGGUAGAAUCCAGUGAAAGUUAUGAUUCUGACUCUGAGGAGGAUACCACUGCUAAACCAGUUAAGAAGAAUAAAAAAUCUAGUGAUAGCUCAGAUUCUGACUCAGAUUCAGAUUCUGAAGAAGAUACCACUGCUAAAACAGUUUCUGUAAAGAAAGAAAAAUCUAGUGGUAGCUCAGAUAAUGACUCGGAUUCCGAUUCUGAUGAACCAGCAAAAUCUAUUAUUCCUGCUAAGAGGCUUCUGACAACAGAGAAAAAGAGAAACAUUCCAAGGAUGAUUCUGAUGAUAGUUCUGAUGAGAGUGAUGAAGAGCCUGCAGUAA
This 351-nucleotide ribosomal RNA is filed under the name Triticum aestivum (bread wheat). Its description in RNAcentral is "partial small subunit ribosomal RNA". The record is from RNAcentral. Lineage: Eukaryota; Viridiplantae; Streptophyta; Magnoliopsida; Poales; Poaceae.